AGAUGCCUCUGUGGACCGUUUAAGAAACCACAGUGCUUUGGAGGAAAGGAAGAGACCCUUGAUAAUAUAGCUCUCUUGGCUGGAGAUUGCAGGUCCCGGUGGGGAGAACAAUGAAGACACUUACUGGAUCUUUGUUCCUGUUUUUGUGGCUGCAGCUGGACUGUAUGAGUAGAGGAGAGGAUGUGGAGCAGAGUCUUUUCCUGAGUGUCCGAGAGGGAGACAUCUCCGUUAUAAACUGCACUUACACGGACAGUUCCUCCACCUACUUAUAUUGGUAUAAGCAAGAACCUGGAGCAGGUCUCCAGUUGCUGAUAUAUAUUCUUUCAAAUAUGGACCUGAAACGAGACCAAAGAGUCACUGUUCUAUUGAAUAAGAAGGAUAAACAUCUGUCUUUGCGCAUCGCAGACACCCAGACUGAGGACUCAGCUAUCUACUUCUGUGCAGAGAGUACACAUUGCCUCUCAGGCACCUGUAUCCUGUACCUAAACCUGCGCCUGGGGCUAAAGCCACACUCUAUUUCCUUUAUCUUUAAGUCAGGGAUUUUGCUGUUUUGUAUUUUUAAUGUUACAAAACAUCCUAAAACGUCAGUUUCAAAAUGACUUAAUAACUUUCAGAACAUUUUGAUUAAACUCUUUUUGGGAGUUAAUG
Molecule: non-coding RNA, 648 nt
Organism: Mandrillus leucophaeus (drill)
Lineage: Eukaryota; Metazoa; Chordata; Mammalia; Primates; Cercopithecidae
Source: the annotation of a RefSeq genome assembly